GAUGAACGCUGGCGGCGUGCCUAACACAUGCAAGUCGAACGAAACUGAUUUCAUGAAACUUCGGUAGAUUGGGAUGAAAGUUGAGUGGCGACGGGUGAGUAACACGUGGGCAACCUGCCUCACGAGAGGGGGAUAGCAGUUGGAAACGACUGCUAAUACCGCAUGAUACAUUUGGGCGGCAUCGCUUGGAUGUCAAAGAUUUUAUCGCUGAAAGAUGGCCUCGCGUCUGAUUAGAUAGUUGCGGGGUAAGGCCCACCAAGUCGACGAUCAGUAGCCGGACUGAGAGGUUGACCGGCCACAUUGGGACUGAGAUACGGCCCAGACUCCUACGGGAGGCAGCAGUGGGGAAUAUUGGGCAAUGGACGCAAGUCUGACCCAGCAACGCCGCGUGAAGGAAGAAGGCUUUCGGGUUGUAAACUUCUUUUAAGGGGGGAAGAGCAGAAGACGGUACCCCUUGAAUAAGCCACGGCUAACUACGUG
RNAcentral lists this ribosomal RNA (480 nucleotides) under uncultured bacterium. RNAcentral's name for it is "bacterial SSU rRNA". It matches the Rfam family "Bacterial small subunit ribosomal RNA", at positions 28 to 507 of the family's 1533-position model. The record is from RNAcentral.